GGAGUCGGACAAUUGGAAUCGGAGUCGGUACAUCGUCACCUCCGACUCUGACUUCGACUUUUUUGGUUAAAAGAACUCCAACUCCGACUCUGACUUACCGGAGUCGGAUUUUUGCUCAGCCCUAAGCUUUGAUCCUUUUGGUUGCAGUCCUGAUGUGCUGUUUGGCUGCUAACAUAGCACACCCGUUACCCCCCACCCCCAAAAAAAAAAAAAAAAAUCCCUUUUUCUCCUGGAGGCAGGACAAGUUGUUCAAUUAUCUGUACUCACGGCAAAGAAUUUGGACACCUUUUUCCUGCAACAGAAUAUUUCCCUUCUAUUCUACCUUUUAGCAAUGACUGUGGGUAAUCUAUUUUGGACCAGGUAUAUUUAUUGAAGAGCAUCCCGUUGCGCUUAUAUGCAAAUUAUUUGACCUUCACUGGCAUUUCGUUUAGUACCAGCUUAGAUUGGACUAAUGUGGGCCGGCUGCAUUGUCUAUUGCCUUGGUGGGAAGAUGCAACUCUGGAUUUUAUGAUCAGUGGGGGUUACAACGUUAGUUCACAGAUAAAACAGGAAGAUGCAGCAGGGCUUCCGCCAAAAGUUUUGUAGUUCUAGGCAUGAAUUUGACAGCAGGUCAGUC
Juglans regia (Persian walnut) is the source of this 616-nucleotide long non-coding RNA. RefSeq lists it as uncharacterized. NCBI's taxonomy places the organism in Eukaryota, Viridiplantae, Streptophyta, Magnoliopsida, Fagales, Juglandaceae. The record is from RefSeq and is a predicted model, not a curated record. The transcript has 3 exons.